Felis catus (domestic cat) is the source of this 8054-nucleotide long non-coding RNA. RefSeq lists it as uncharacterized. The transcript is spliced from 2 exons. The record is from RefSeq and is a predicted model, not a curated record. Lineage: Eukaryota; Metazoa; Chordata; Mammalia; Carnivora; Felidae.
UUGGGCUUUGCUGCUGUAUCCCCAUCACCUGGCACAGUUAUCAUUUGGCUCGAUGACCGAAUGCUUCGCGGACGACCCAGUAACAAUCUGUGCCCGUCUCGCAGCCGGCCUCCCGCUCCUCCUUCUCGGUGGAAGGAGACCCGAGAGACUCCCCACCCCUGCAUGCCCUCCCUCUCGGCCGGGUCAGCCUGGGAGGACCAGGUUCAGGCGACCGCCAGCCCAGCCGUGUUCGGCCGAGAACACCAGGACCUGAUGAGGUCUGAAUUGUUCCAAGGAGUGUUCUUAGCAAGUUGUAAAUAUACCUCCCCACGUCCCAUCGUUGUGCAUAAUUGAUACAGCUGAUGAAAAGCAAUCAUGAUCCCGUGAAUCAUUUCUGUCUGUUUACGAGAACGUUUCAUUCCCCGUCUUCCAGAAGGAGGCACAAAACACACUUUAAAGGAAAACGUAUUUGAUACUGACAUAUGGUAAGACCGUACCGUGUUCCGCUUCCUCGCUGGCUCCUGGUAUGUGAGAAAGAAGAAGGAAAACUCGUAAUUACUGUAGAUUUUAUCUUAUUUUUUUCAAUACGCGCAGAUAAUUUCUUUUAAGUAUAAAUGAGGGCAUUUGCAGAAAUGAUGAUCUGCAAAUCUCCACUUGGUUUGCCUUAGGAUAGGAAACGUGGCCGGUACUUGGGAUGUGAUUAUUUGUUUACAGGCCUGUCUCUCUCGCUUAAAGAAACAGAAUGAGUCUCGUGCUAAUUUAUAGCCACCCCACGCUUGACCUCCAUCGCUCCUGCUAAGGCUGAGCACAAGCGUCUGUGUGUUUAGUGUAUGAACUUAGGGAAUAAGCCUUCUCGAAGAAAUCCCAAAUAACCCUGACGGGGGGAGUCUUUCUUAUUUCCAGUGAUUGUCUCUGUGACAGUCGGGCUCAUGGAGUAAGUGUGGGGGACUUGAAUGAGCAGGGUUGUGUCAGUCAGCGAAUGCAGCCAUGCUGUGUAACAAACCACCCCGAAACUCAGUGGCUUAAAGCAAAAAGCAUUUCUUCUAACCAUGGAUGUAAGGGUUGAUGGCAGUACGGCUAAUCUAGGUUAAUCUAACUCAGGCUAUAGGUCAGCGGGGCAGGGCUCCAGGCUACGGGGUAGACGCGGGUCUCUUUGCCAUGUUUCUCCCGGGCCUGGUCUGAAGUGGUGUCCUCGACCUGGUGCGUAAUCUCCGUGACUCACAGGAGUUACAAAAACAGCGACCUCAGUUGCACAAGGUCCUUGCAAGCCUCUGGUUGCAUCACAUCUACUAACAUCUCAUUGGCCCAAACAAGUCACAUGGUUUACCCGGAAGUCAGGGAAUGGGGAGGGCCGUGGGGCUGUGAUGUGAGUAAAAUCUGUCACAAAUCAGUGAAGUGUUGGAACCCAAGAUUCAGUCCGUCCCCCAGGAAGCCACAGGGUAGAGAGUGGGGAGCAGAUCAACGGAGGAGAAGCAGAGGGAAUAAGCCAAGCUGGGGAGCAGACGGGCGCAUGCGUGACGCACACAGGCCACCAAGCGAGGUUUUAGUUCCCGAGGGACACAGCGCACACGUCCCAAAGACCCUCCAGGUGGAAAGGGCAGAGCAGCACACCCCUCCCCCGGUGGAAAAGCAAAAAUCUGUCGUUUCCCCACCGUUCGUUGGUCUUAGGUGAGCAAAGACCCCACGGCCCCAUGGCGGCCGUCCAGGACGCCCGCGCGCGCUGUGCGCCUCCUACACCAGCUCUCUCCUCGCGCUGUGGCCACCUGGGCUCUGCUCCCGCGGCCCCGCUCUUCUGACACGUCUGUCCCGCGGCCCCGAUGCCUCCGAGUCUGUCAGGCACUCGCCAGACUCCCUUGUCCGCCUGUGGUGCCCCCGCGGCCUCUCCCUCCCGAGAGCCCCCUGCUGCCCCAGGAUCCUGCUUUGUGACUCAUUUACAUUCCCCUCCUGUCUCCCAGAACAUUCCUUCCCCGUGUCUUUUCCUGGCUCCUCAGAACGUUCGUUCGAGGGGGAGAAUGUUGGCGGCGGAGACGGAGAGAAGUGCUUGGCAGUAAAUGGCCCAACGUCUUGCCUUGGAAGCGCCUGCAGCCUCCCGCUAACGGCGUCUGCUGUUCCAUGGGGUCGGGUGGAUGGCGAGCUUCUCUGUGACCUGCGGCCACACCUGAGCAGUGACCCCGUCCCAGCGUCCACGCAUAAGUGCAGACCCCUUGCAGAUUCUCCUGCAGGAAACCACCCCGCGGCCUCUGCACCGCAGCCCCACCUCUGCGCCUCUUCUGGAACAUUCGUUACCGUCCAGCUCGCUCUGCUGUUUCUUCCGUCCGCGCUCACGUGCUUCCCGGCCUGGCUGUCGGUUCCUCGCCGGCCGCCGGGAGUUCGUUUCACAUUUUGCUUUUCCCUAGUACUUAGCCAGUGAUUCGAGCGGAGGGGGUCCUCGAUAAAUAGUCGGGUAAUGAUCGCAUUGUGGGGGGAGUGGCGAUCUGAGAAGAAAUCCGAUCCGGGCUUAAAAGCUCCCGUCUCAAGCUUGUGGCUUUGGAAGAGGAGAGUAAAAUCAGUUUUUAUUGAAUCUGUCUGCUCUUCGCAGAGUUAUUUCGUGGUCUCUUUCAUUGGGCCAAUUACAUUUAUGAAGAUGAAUUAUGACAGGCGAGAACCCGCUUGCAUGGAUUACUGUGUGCUAACUGUGUAAUUAGCGGCCAGCGUCUAGGAGGGGAGUUUGUUGGAUAUUUCCAUCAGAAAAAAAUAAAAAAACCAAAACACAUUACGAUCCAUAAAAAACAAUGAGCAAUGAUAAUUUCAUUUUUAUUGGUCAUUUUAAAACAUUCACUGAUAAUUUCCCCCGUGCUUAAUAGGCAUAUGCUUGCCUCCUUCAAAAUAUAUCCAUAAACUUGUUGCAAAAAAACAGUCUUACAUAAUUGUUCAGCUCCCUCCCCUCGUGAAAGCCAGAAGAAAGGCUUCCAGAGGCAGAAGGUGUGGGGUUCGUGGAGGGCGUUCACACGAGUCAGCGGGUCAACAGGACUGAGCGUUGCCCUUUCACACCCGAGGGGGUUGAGCCUCCGUCGGGCAUCUGAAUUAAAGCAGGAUGAGCCCUUGUGACCCGUCUGGUUUCCCGUCCUUUCCAUCGGUAACCAAGAGGGGACUUGAGGUCCUUUUGGGGGGCGGGGACCCCCAGCCCAGGCCAAAGGGAAACACACAACAAGUGAGAAUAAAUGGUCACCAUAGGAGUGAGUGCCCCGGGCGGGCUGAGUGCUGGCUGCGUGGCUGGGACGGAGGCACUUGCCACGUCCUGCUCUGUGUGGUCCCCACAGAGACCGCGCACCCCCUACCCCUGACUCCCGGCUCUCGUGACAAGAAGACCAGGGGCCAAGGGGAGGUGGUCACGGCCUCCAGACCCUCCCGGUUCAGGAGGGGAACCGCCUCCGUGUUUCCAGAACCACCUUAGGAAGGGAUCUCACUCUUGCCGAGUGGAAGUUAAAUCCCCCACGUGGAACGUGUUUCCUUCUCUUCUUGCUCCCCUUGCCCAUCCCCCGCGGGGCUCCGGCCCGUCUCUGACCUCUGCGUGCAAAGCCAGAAGCCAACACGGACGGACGGGAACGGAGACGGCUUGGGAGGGAGGCGCCCACUCACCGGCCUUCAGCACGAGCUUCUCUCCGGAGACAAGACCCACCCUCUGCUUGUGCCGUGAAGCCUGACGAACCUUCGGGGUGUGUGUGUGAUUACGCGUGUGUGCGCACGUGUCCAUCUGCAUGUGUGUGUGCAUGUGCGUGUGAUUACACGUGUGUGCGCACGUGUGCAUGAGCGUGUCUGCAUGUGUGUGCACGUGAGUAUGCACGAACAUGUGUGUGUGCGUGUGUGUGAACACGGGUGUGCAUGUGAGUGUGUAUGACCGAAUGCCUGUGUUCCUGUGUCUCCAGAAGUCCCCAGGAUGGGAGGACGGGGCCCCCCUCUGAGCAUCAGGUCAGGCUGGGCGGUGGCCAGCGGGCAGGUGGGCCACGUUCUGCGUUUGUCCCUGGCUGUGCCCCGGGUGCACGUGGCUGCUCCCUGAGCCGAGCGUGUCUGCCACGUGCUCGCCAGCACUGGAGGCUCGUCUGGGACGGAGACCCGGGUCGCUCCUCCCCCGUCCCCCCAGCGGCCUCCGCUCUGCCGGUGCCUGUGGUUCCCGCAGGCAAAGUCACGGCUGCAGCCCGGCGUCCGAAUAUUCAGUCAGCAAACGUUUAAUGAGCACCUAGUGAAGCCAGUGGGUCAGGGCCGUUAAUCAGGAACCGAGUUGGAAUCCCAGCCCUACCAUCCCACCUUCUCUCUCGGAACCCUGUUUGCUUAUCUCUUAAAUGGGCGUAAACACAGUACAGGCCUCGGGAGACCGAUCUGGGGAAGCCAGCAGGAUCACAUUUUAAAGCCCCCCUGGCUCUUAGCUGCCGUUACUGGCGUUGAUGUUGUCACGGUCAAACCAGGUGUCAGGCGCCCACCCCGUGGAGGCUCACAGUCCGGCAACGGCAGGUAGGAAGGGUGCCCGUGAUGGGGAGCAGCUUGCGACGCGUCAGAUGGAGGAGAUGCCCACCAUUUCUGCCUGGGGGGCAGAGAAGGCCGACGGAGGAGGCAGGUAGCUGGGCCGUGAAGGAUGUUUAAACCUUCGGAGUCAGGGACGGGGAGGAAAGUCAUCCCAGGAAGACGGAAGAGCGUGGAAGGCCAGCCGUCUGAGGUGGCCGAGGAGAUUGGGGAUGGCGGCCGCGAAGAGGACGGUUGUGUGGCCGGAUUACAGAGAGCCUUGAAUGCCAAGCCAAGUGGGGCAUCUGGGUUUAAUUGUCUGGGCCGCGGGAGUGGUUCCGGCGUCUUAAACAAAGGAGCAGCAGAUCUGAUCCUUGCCAGCGGCACGACUUGCCAUUAUAACGGUAAACACGUCUACCCAAGACUAAGGAAGUUGGCAGGAAUAAGCGGCCAGAUUUUCAGUGCUCUGCCUGUGAGCCCGCUUCCUGCCUCAGGAAAAGGGGCCAGGAAGGGUGACGUCACGGGAGCUCGGCAGCCUCCUGUCCAGAGCAGGCAGCCAGCUUGUGCUCACCAGGGGCCCCAGGGCGGGAGGUGACCCAGGUGGCAUCUGGAGACUGGCUUCCUCCAAUCCUCACAGCCUCAGUGGCUCCUAGGUGCCCGGAGAAGCUCCGGGUGAGAAACCCAGGUGGGGGGAGAUGGGUGGGGAGCGGAGCCAAGGGGACCGUGGGGCCCGAAAUCACCCUGUGAUGCAGGGCCGGGGCAGGGUGUCCUCGUGGGUGAAGUGGGCACAGAAAGCCGGUCACAGCGAGUGGGGAGGAUCUGGGACAAUAUGAGCUUCGGGGCGCCCUGCGGGUUUACAGCAGGUGCUCUUAGCAGGCAGGUGUGGGCGGGGCCUCUGAGACACUGAGCACAGACUAGUCCGCCCAGCCGCACCCCUGCCCCAGCACCUCUGCCUCCCGCACCCCUGCCUACCACUCGUGCCACUUGCAACCCUGCCACCCUCACCCCUGCCUCCCUCACCCCUGCUGCCCACAUCCCUGCCGCCCGCACCCCUGCCUCCCGCACCCCUUCCUGCUGCACCCCUGCCUCCCGCACCCCUCCCUGCCAGCAGGCUCUGCCCAGGGCUGGUGGGCGGGACAGGGCGCCUGGCCCUGGAGGGGUUGUCAUCACGGAAAACCGAAGCGCAUCAUGCGGUUUUCUCCACGCUCUCUCCCAAGAGGGUAAAACACACAUCCUGCAUCUUUUCUUCUAGGACCUUUGAAGUUUUCGCUCCAAGUGGUAAAACACAUCAACGAGUUUCCCCAUGAAUAUUUAUUGAAAUGGCACCUUUAAGACAAAGCCAUUGUAGUGAAACUCCCAGGAAAUGCAUUUUGUGCAGCCAUUGAUCUUAAAAUAUUUACUACAAAUGUGCUCAUCUUGCAAAUACCGCACAUCGCUCUUUGUUGUUUGUUCUGGGAUUUGGCCUACGUGGUCUCGUACGGUUGAGCUGGGUCGGCAAGACCCAUCUUCUGGACGGCAUUCAGCUUCCUUCCUCCUUCCUUCCUUCCUUCCUUCCUCCUGGCCCUUGGUUCGCUGGUUUUGCCACCUCUGCGCGCAUCCCUGGGCUUCCCGAGCGGCUGGCUGGGGCCGGGGAAGACACACCUGUAGCAGGUGAGCUCUGAGAAGAGACACUAGAGAGUCAUGGACACUUGAGCAAGAAAGAGCUCGGCCGUCACCUUGCCAGACGCCCUCACUCACCCUCGAAGGUGCCCGUCGGAUCAGAGCCACCUGACACCCCCAACCUGCCGGGUCAGCAAACCACGAGGACUCGGGGAAACAGGCCUUUGGCACGUUCUGGUGGGGAUAUGAACUGCUACGGACUCUUUGAGGGUGAGGCCACCCAACAUCCAUCACGAUGAGAACGCCACCCGGCCUCUGAGCCAGCAUGCACCUUUGGGGGGUCUGUCCCUCCAUCCUGAAAGUAGGAGAUGUCCGUGCACAGCAACGCGGGCUGUCACGUAGAGGGUGGCGGCCCCACUAGAAGCCGCAUGCGCACCCGCCCAAGGCGGCCGGGAAGGAAGAACCCCCCCCUCCUGUAGACUGCUGGUCUCCGAGGGCUUCUGGCCUCUCCGUCAAUGCCAGCUCGCACGUCCAUGGUGUGCGUGUGCAUUUGUGCGACCGAAUGUCUUAUAGACAAACGGAAGAUAGACUAAAGGGAUGGGCCAACACGCCGGUUGUCUGUUCCUCCUGCCAAUGGGGCGUAUGCGCCUCGAGUCGGACGUCCUUGCGGGACGAUGUCAUGCCGCGUUCCUCGAGCACAUCGCCUGGUGGAGACUACAAAGACAGAAAAGCCUGGGCCUCGUGCGGUCACGUCAUUGCAAAAACCCACGACGGCCUUCAGAAUUCUCCUACCUCGGUCUGCGGACUGCGGGUAACGUUUUACGGGCACAGAGAUGUAGGUCUGGACGCCUUUGUGUGUUUAUAUGGGCGCACGGAAGAGCGUGGGUGGGGUGGUCCUCCGCUGUCCCCCCCGGAAGCACAGCGGGGGCUGGACAGGAACAUGGGAAAAGGAGAAGAGUGGGGGACAACAAGGGAUUAAAAAGGUAACGCAGACCGAGAAGAUAUUCACGAUAGCACGCUACCUAGGAAGGAAAGUAAACGGCCGUGCGCUGCGUCCGCCCACACGGGGAGAAGGUCGGCGUGCGAAAAGGCGCCUGGCCGCCCGAGGGACGAGUGCAGGUUUUGAUGGGACGAGGGGCGCAAUUUUUGUCUCGGGUUUCUGUUGUCAUCGUAACGUCGGCCGGUCCUCCCCGGGGCAUUUCCUUCUGGGCUCUCGUCUCUGCACAGGGUGCUGUUCCUGCUUCCCCGCAGGGAGAGACCCACGACCGCGUGCCUUCCCCUCAUGCACGAGCAGACGGGCUGGGGUCUUUGGGGCCCAAGUCCCGGUGCUAGAAAGAGAGAGCCCGACUGCCCCGGGUCAGGUCAGGGGACCAGGUCAUGGGGUCUGAGUGGGUGUCAGAGCACAGACACCAGAGCCCGAGCCCCCAGAUCCCAGGCCUGGUGGCCUGUCCACUCGUCCGAGCUUCCUCGUUCCCGUGUCCUUGGUCUGGUGACUUGAGGCAGGACGGCUCAGUGAUCUGUGGGUUCAGACAGGCGUUCCUGCGGGAACAGAGGGACUCCCAGCAGAAGGUGGCUGUUUCCAGAACACAGCACUUCCACCUGUGGCCCCUCUGUGCUCUGCACCAGGCAGUCUGCUCACAGACUCCGCUGUCCACAGCACGACCAGCAGGUCUGAGGGUUUGCCUGCUCCCUGCGCAGCAUCCGGGCCCUGAACGGUGUAACAGCUCAGCCUGCGGACAAGGACGGAGACAGAGAGACAGAGCGUGGUCCUGGCAGAGUCCUGAGGGCCCAGCCUCCGUGGCUGGGACGAGCCUCGUCGGUGCCCUGAGGGGCAGGGGACGGAGCCUGACCCGGACGCCUCCUCCAUCCGACUCUGUGGGUCGUGGAUGGUCCCCCUGCCCUCAGCUGCUGGGCCAUUUGAGACAAGACUUGACACGUAACCCUAUCAUCCUUCCAUCCUUCUGGAAAUCUGUCGUGGUAAAUAAAUGCUCAUAAGGCGA